This 549-nucleotide ribosomal RNA is filed under the name Rhizophagus intraradices. RNAcentral describes it as "SSU rRNA". It matches the Rfam family "Eukaryotic small subunit ribosomal RNA", at positions 548 to 1098 of the family's 1831-position model. The record is from RNAcentral. Lineage: Eukaryota; Fungi; Glomeromycota; Glomeromycetes; Glomerales; Glomeraceae. RNAcentral also lists the same sequence under 1 other name.
UUGGAGGGCAAGUCUGGUGCCAGCAGCCGCGGUAAUUCCAGCUCCAAUAGCGUAUAUUAAAGUUGUUGCAGUUAAAAAGCUCGUAGUUGAAUUUCGGGGUUAGUAGGCUGGUCAUGCCACCGGUAUGUACUGGUCUUACUGAUUCCUCCUUCCUGAUGAACUGUAAUGCCAUUAAUUUGGUGUUGCAGGGAAUCUGGACUGUUACUUUGAAAAAAUUAGAGUGUUUAAAGCAGGCUAACGCUUGAAUACAUUAGCAUGGAAUAAUGAAAUAGGACGUUCGAUCCUAUUUUGUUGGUUUCUAGGAUUGACGUAAUGAUUAAUAGGGAUAGUUGGGGGCAUUAGUAUUCAAUUGUCAGAGGUGAAAUUCUUGGAUUUAUUGAAGACUAACUACUGCGAAAGCAUUUGCCAAGGAUGUUUUCAUUAAUCAAGAACGAAAGUUAGGGGAUCGAAGACGAUCAGAUACCGUCGUAGUCUUAACCAUAAACUAUGCCGACUAGGGAUCGGAUGAUGUUAAUUUUUUAAUGACUCAUUCGGCGCCUUACGGGAAAC